Molecule: ribosomal RNA, 315 nt
Filed under: uncultured bacterium
Lineage: Bacteria
Description: bacterial SSU rRNA
Rfam family: Bacterial small subunit ribosomal RNA
Source: RNAcentral
AAUUUNUNANGGGAGGAAGUGGGCGGGUGACCGAAAACCNGGAGGAAGGGUGGGGGAUAACGUUCAAUUCAUUCAUUGGCCCUUACGGCCUGGGGGUACCACACGGGNAACAAUGGUCGGUACCAGAGGGUUGCCCAAGCCCGCGAGGUGGAGCUAAUCCCAUUAAAACCGAUCGUAGUCCGGAUCGCCAGUCUGCAACUCGAACUGCGUGAAGUCGGGAAUCGCUAGUAAUCGCGAAUCAGAAUGUCGCGGUGAAUACGUUCCCGGGCCUUGUACCCACCGCCCGUGAAUACACUAGUGAAUUUCGCGACCGCC